CUAUUUUACACAUCAUUUUAUGCAGAUGCUGGAAACUGCUAACGCUAAAAAAAAGAAGAAGAAGAGAAAGAAGAAGAGGAAGAAGAGGAAGAGGAGGAAGAGGAGGAAGAGGAAGAGGAGAAGAAGAAGAAGAAGAAGAAGAAGAACAACAACAACAACAACAACAACAACAACAACAACAACUUGUGAAUGAGACAGACACAAUGAUUCUACCAAGGAUGUUGAGGGGAAACGACACACUGCUGCCUAUGCUCUCUCUGCGUGUCCUGAGUCACUGCCACAUUAUCUUAUGGGGGCAGAGGGUGCUGGCCCUCCUGAAUAACCAAAGAUAGAGAAUUAGGACAAAGGAGGGAAGAAGAGAAAACUGCAGGAAAUUCAGGUCAUGGGAGGGACAUGGCAUUGGGAAAAAGGGUACUCUUUUUAUCUGGUUCCUGCUAUUUUCCACUUUGGACCUUUUGCAGCUUCCCUUGGCUCUAGCCCCAUCCUCUCCAGUCCUGAUCUCCUAUCAGAUACACCUAUGUUCCCACAUUCUGUACCUCAGUUACACCCAAUUUCAUUCAUAUCUGGAGUGGCCCUGAUAAAUGAAAAAUUUUAAAAAGUUAUAAACACAAACAACCCCAGUUAGAGAAGGCGGUGCCUUACUCUGUUUCUCACAUUCACUUAAUUCCUUUGUUCAUUCCACAUGCAUUCACUGAAUACCCACACUGCUAAGACCUGCGGAUACACAGAUGGACAGAUACCCUCUCCAGCCUCAAGGAAGUCACGUUUUUGGUUGAGAUUGGAGAGAAAACAAGGUAUCUCUAGCCCAAGAUGCCUCAGUCCUUCAAAUGACCCUGAUCAGGAACGAAAAAAUAUGACAGUACAUUGCAGUAUAUAUUUCAUUGCCUCUCUACCCCCUUCUAAAAAGGGGAGUUUGGUUUUGCUUGUUUGCUUGCCUGUUUGCUCAGCUGCUCAGCCCUGGACCUUGUCAUACUGGUUGAAUGGACGGACAAGUGACAUAAACAAGGAAGACAAGACAAGGAAGUUAAGAGUUCGAGGCCAAUGCCACACCAACUUACGAGGGUCGGUGUGGUAUGAACAAGGAGGGGAAGCUGCGGGACUGCCAAGCUGGGCACAAGUCAAGCACUAACCGGCACCACUGCCUCCUGCUUCCUGGUGCCACUCCAGCCGGGGCUGCCCACACUGUGUCUGGCAGCUUCCAAUACUGCUUUCCUGCUGCCAUGAGACAGCAGGUCUGGCAACAGAAGUGGAGCCGGACUUAAGGAGAAAGAGGAAAGAACUUCAGCUCUGGCACCUGCAGACCCCUGAAAGUGGCCUACGGAAGCUGGCAGCAGGGACCGCAAUUGGGCAUUCUCUCACCUUUCCCUUCUCGGAGCUCCCCAAGCCUGUGGCCAGUGGGAAGAGGAUUACCUGAGAGCCAGAAGCCCUGGGUCCCAGCACUUCACUAACCUACCUUGCAUCCAUUCGGCAAAUUAUACACCCCAGCUCUCAGUUUCCCCAUCUCCAGGAUAACAGACUGGACUUGUCCAAGAAUAGCAAUCAUUCCCGAUCCAGUGCCGACGCUGGUUGCUAGAACACGUGGCUGAAGGGAUCACAUGUUGCUCAGGAUUCUGGGGCCACAUCCAGUGGUCGGGGGUGCUGUGGUUCGCGGGCAACAUCUGUCUUGGACUCAGAAUGGAACAUGGUAGACCAGGUGCCACGUCACUGACAUGCAGGAGCUAAAGGACCUUUGCACCCCUGCCCGAUGGAACAUUCUAACACUUGGAUUCUGUGGGAUGAGAUCUGACAGCCACAGGCAGAAGUUACCAACUGGGAAGCUUGUGGAUUCUUCAACGGAAACUGAGUCAGGCUGAUGAAUUACCUUUACUAAAGGAAUGAAUAACAAAAAAAAAGAAAAAGUUCUAAGUCCAAGACAUGCCAAGAAAGGUUAGAUAGAUUAGAUAAUAUUUUAAAAGCAGAGAUGUUUUGGGUGACCUGCUAUUUUGCUGUCCAGCUUGAGAUGAUGCCAAUGGCCACAG
Macaca mulatta (Rhesus monkey) is the source of this 2018-nucleotide long non-coding RNA. Lineage: Eukaryota; Metazoa; Chordata; Mammalia; Primates; Cercopithecidae. The record is from Ensembl.